CGAUGGUUCAAGUGAUUAGAGCGUCUGCCGCGGAUGCUGGAGGUCUCGGGUUCGAAACCCGGCUGAGUGA
Molecule: non-coding RNA, 70 nt
Organism: Potamilus streckersoni
Lineage: Eukaryota; Metazoa; Mollusca; Bivalvia; Unionida; Unionidae
Source: the annotation of a GenBank genome assembly